This 358-nucleotide transfer RNA is filed under the name uncultured Microcystis sp. Its description in RNAcentral is "partial 16S-23S ribosomal RNA intergenic spacer". The stretch from base 133 to 206 matches the Rfam family "tRNA". Lineage: Bacteria; Bacillati; Cyanobacteriota; Cyanophyceae; Chroococcales; Microcystaceae. The record is from RNAcentral.
AAGGGAGACCUAAUUCCCGUAGGAGACGAAAAAAAAGUAGUCCCAACCAAGAAUCAAUCCCAAAAGGUCGGAACGAGGUAUGAGGCUUUCAAACUAGGUUCUGGGUUCAUAAAAGACCUGAAUCAGGAACAAGGGCUAUUAGCUCAGGUGGUUAGAGCGCACCCCUGAUAAGGGUGAGGUCCCUGGUUCGAGUCCAGGAUGGCCCACCUGCACAGGUGGCAAAAACAAGAGAAGCUCCGAAUCAGCACCUUAUCUUAUAUACAUAUAUAAGAGAGAAUGAUGGCUCUGAGUACAGAGUCCAGAGGAACCUUGAAAACUGCAUAGAGCUAGGUGAAAAAGCCAAAAAAGAAGACCGCAA